CCUACGGGUGGCAGCAGUGAGGAAUAUUGGGCAAUGGAGGCAACUCUGAACCAGCAACGUCGCGUGAAUGAUGACGGUCUUAGGAUUGUAAAGUUUUUUUCUACGGGAAGCAGAACGUGACGGUACCUUCGGAAUAAGCAGUGGCUAAAUACGUGCCAGCAGCUGCGGGAAUACGGUGGGGGGAGGUGGUAUCCGGAAUGCCUGGGGGUAACGGGUGUGUAGGAGGUAUGGCUAGGUGGUAGCGUAACUGCGGGGCUCAAACUCUGCACUAUUACCGAAACUGUCGGACUUGAGUGCAGGGGGAGCAAAUGGAAUGCGUGGUGUAGCGGUGGAAUGCAUAGAUAUUAGGAAGAACACCGGUGGCGAAGGC
RNAcentral lists this ribosomal RNA (370 nucleotides) under uncultured bacterium. RNAcentral describes it as "partial 16S ribosomal RNA". It matches the Rfam family "Bacterial small subunit ribosomal RNA", at positions 338 to 722 of the family's 1533-position model. The record is from RNAcentral.